ACCAUCAUGUGUCUGAUAUCCCAAAUAAUCUCUACAUGAUAGGCUGUCAAAAAUUUUAACUUAUAAAAAAUAAUAGAACUCGAGUACACCAUGUUUGGAGAUUUUAAUUGAGAGUUGGGACUAAGGCAAUCUCAGAUCAAGUAACAAGUUUUCUCCCACUGAAAACCACAAAAAUUAUGAGUGAAACUCUCUUAAGAAAGCACAACACAAACUUGUGUGACUUUAAUAAAUUUUAACUUGUAAUAAAUAACGUUUUUAAGAGACUCUUAGAAAGUGAUUCGCUCUUUUUUUGUUUGGUAUCUGUAGUAUGUUGACAAUCAUGUUAGACAAUUUAAAGUGUAAUGAUUCUGACCUGCAACACAGACUAGUAACGCUGAGAGUGGGGAAUCUGGUUUGAGAAAGGCAGAGGAUGUUGUAAGCACCAUGUUAGCCAAGGGCUUCAUUUUGGGUAAAGAUGCAUUGAAUCGAGCAAAAUCCUUUGAUGAAAGGCACAGACUUACUUCCACGGCCUCAGCAAAAGUUGCUUCUUUGGACCAGAAGGUGGGAUUUACUGAAAAGAUCAGUGCUGGUACAGUUAUAGUGAAUGACAAGGUGAAAGAAAUGGAUGAGAAAUUUCAAGUCUCAGAGAAGACAAAAACUGCAAUUUCAGCAGCUGAGCAGUCAGUGUCCAGUGCUGGAUCUGCCAUAAUGAAGAAUCGGUAUGUGUUGACUGGGGCUACAUGGGUCACAGGUGCUUACAACAGGGUUGCAAGGAAGGCUGAGGAAGUGGGGCAGAAAACUAAGGAGAAGGUUUUGGCGCAGAAUAAUCAAGGAAAAACUGAAGAAAGUCAUGUCCACACCAGUAUGUCGGAACCCACGACAACUGAUCAAACCUCCAAACAGGCAACCACGGUCGAUGAACCCUCAAAACCUGAACCUCAACAGGCCACCACAGUUGAUCCACCCUCCAAAUCUGAAACUCAGAAGGCCACAACAGUUAAUGAAUCCUCCAAACCUGAACCUCAAGUGGCCACCACAGUUAAUGAACCCUCCAAACCUGAACCUCAAGUGGCCACCACAGUUAACGAACCCUCCAAACCAGAACCUCAACAGGCAACCAAGGAUGGUCAAUCUGCCAGUCCAACAAAAUCUAGUGCCUGAUCCUAUGAUUUGCAAACGAAUAUGUGUGAAAUUUGGGUCAUAUAUAUGAGCUUAUUAGAGUAUUUUUGAGAAGUUGGAUGGUAUAUGUCUAAUAACCAACUGUGUUGUAGAAAUAAAAUAAAACCGGAGAGCCUCAGUGUAGUACUUCUUUUCUGAGACUUCAUGCAGUCAAAUAUAUACCCUAUUUACUCCGUCCUGAGGAAACACGGUUACGUCCAUGUAUCUUGUUUAUUACGCUAGUUACUAAUAGACUAAUAGUUGCAUGUAUCUCUCCAUGAGAAUCUCUCUCUCUCUCUCUCUCUCUCUCUCUCUCUCUCUCUCUCUCUCUGUAUGUAUAUAUAUUUAUGUAUGUGAGUGUAACUGGACCAUUCAGAAUAUAUGCUGACAGAAUCUCAAAUGAUGUUUUAAUUUCUAAAAA
This 1558-nucleotide long non-coding RNA is filed under the name Vigna radiata. Its description in RNAcentral is "long non-coding RNA (VRAD_LNC001411)". Lineage: Eukaryota; Viridiplantae; Streptophyta; Magnoliopsida; Fabales; Fabaceae. The record is from RNAcentral.